This 374-nucleotide ribosomal RNA is filed under the name uncultured bacterium. RNAcentral's name for it is "bacterial SSU rRNA". It matches the Rfam family "Bacterial small subunit ribosomal RNA", at positions 523 to 897 of the family's 1533-position model. The record is from RNAcentral.
AUACGAAGGGGGCUAGCGUUGCUCGGAAUUACUGGGCGUGAAGGGAGCGUAGGCGGACAUUUAAGUCAGGGGUGAAAUCCCGGGGCUCAACCUCGGAAUUGCCUUUGAUACUGGGUGUCUUGAGUAUGAGAGAGGUGUGUGGAACUCCGAGUGUAGAGGUGAAAUUCGUAGAUAUUCGGAAGAACACCAGUGGCGAAGGCGACACACUGGCUCAUUACUGACGCUGAGGCUCGAAGGCGUGGGGAGCAAACAGGAUUAGAUACCCUGGUAGUCCACGCCGUAAACGAUGAUUGCUAGUUGUCGGGAUGCAUGCAUUUCGGUGACGCAGCUAACGCAUUAAGCAAUCCGCCUGGGGAGUACGGUCGCAAGAUUAA